Molecule: ribosomal RNA, 497 nt
Filed under: uncultured bacterium
Lineage: Bacteria
Description: partial 16S ribosomal RNA
Rfam family: Bacterial small subunit ribosomal RNA
Source: RNAcentral
GAUGAACGCUGGCGGCGUGCCUAAUACAUGCAAGUCGAGCGAACAGACGAGGAGCUUGCUCCUCUGACGUUAGCGGCGGACGGGUGAGUAACACGUGGAUAACCUACCUAUAAGACUGGGAUAACUUCGGGAAACCGGAGCUAAUACCGGAUAAUAUAUUGAACCGCAUGGUUCAAUAGUGAAAGACGGUUUUGCUGUCACUUAUAGAGGUAUCCGCGCCGCAUUAGCUAGUUGGUAAGGUAACGGCUUACCAAGGCAACGAUGCGUAGCCGACCUGAGAGGGUGAUCGGCCACACUGGAACUGAGACACGGUCCAGACUCCUACGGGAGGCACCAGUAGGGAAUCUUCCGCAAUGGGCGAAAGCUUGACGGGGCAACGCCGCGUGAGUGAUGAAGGUCUUCGGAUCGUAAAACUCUGUUAUUAGGGAAGAACAAAUGUGUAAGUAACUAUGCACGUAGUGACGGUACCUAAUCAGAAAGCCACGGCUAACUACGUG